Molecule: non-coding RNA, 2792 nt
Organism: Callorhinus ursinus (northern fur seal)
Lineage: Eukaryota; Metazoa; Chordata; Mammalia; Carnivora; Otariidae
Source: RefSeq, a predicted model, not a curated record
CUCUGGGAGAAAACAGGGUGGUGAACAGGUAGUUGGGGCCCAUCUGCUACUCUCCUCCGCCUCUGCCUCUCUGGUGAAUGGGUGUACACGCUGUUGAGAGCAGAGGUGUUCCCGCCCAGCUUCUCUACUUCCUUAUCCACAAAAAUGACUGUCCUCCUUGAUCUGCCCAGAUUCUCACCACCUUUUGGCUACAGAUCCUGGCCCAAAGGAAUCCCAUCACCCAAUGCUGCUCAACCAUUUUUCUGCAAACGCAGUGGAAGUUGAGGAUGGAGUGUGUGAGGGGGUCAUCAAAAAGGCCACACCUGAUAGCCAAGCUAGGUGUUGGCAUGGCAUCACCAGAGGAAGAACAGACCCAUAGGCCUCUCCAUCUCCCCUGGAACAAAGGAACAAACCUGCUCUUCCAGGCUUACAGUAACAGAUACUCUCUGUGAGGGGAGAACCCGACGGAACUGUGCUUGGAGACAGUGAGACGGGAGCAGAGCGCAUGUCCUCAUGUUGAAGGCAAUUACUCCCCCCCUCAACUUCUGGCUUCUCGAACAUCCCUGGCACCCUCCCCCAGAUUGCCUAAACUGCCACAGCACCCUCCAAAAUUCACAGAAAACAGACCGUUUUGAGAAGGAGAAAGGAGAGCUAGGUAGGCUGGAGAAGCCCUUCUUUCCCCAGUGGGCAGCAAGGCCUUUCUUUUCACGUGCCAACUCAGCUGUUUUAUCUCCAGCCCCAGCAGCCUAGGAACUGGAUUUCUGGAAAUUUUCACAAGUCAGGGAGGCCCCAGGACAUUAUGGGUAAAGAGGCCAGAACACCUGCCCAGAUGGUGUGGCAAGAGCGCUGGGGCUUUCCAUCUGAGGCCAUCAGGCCACAAAGCCAAGUCACAUGAGGGUCAUGGGCCUCGAUUUUCCAGGUGACCAGCCGCAAACCCCAAAGGGCCGAUUGGCCUGACGCUGCUGAAGGGAUGUUUUCCUGUGGAGGCGGCUCAGGGCUCUGCGGGGACAGAAGACAAAAACCUCCAACCAUGUCUCCCCCAAUCCUCAGAAGUUUGUCUCCCAGGCUGAGAAGAUGAAGACCAUAAACCUUCCCAGUUUUUAAUCAAGGAACAAUUUUCAGGAAAAGCAGAGAGCCAAAGGGCUUGUCAUUUCUCUGGAGACUCACCGCCCCCUCCUCCACCACCCCAGGUCAGGCACAUGAGGGGCCCUGCUGAAACGCUUGCAAUGCAAGCUCUGAGACCUUGUGAGACCUUCUGGCGCCGUGCUGAGCAGCUCCACAAGGAGAGCCAUGUCAGUCCUUGCCUGAAGCCUUCAGCUUUCCCUGGGCCAGAACGUUGUUUGGGGUUUGUUUUCUCCUCUUUCCCCCAAUAUAUAUUUUUUGAUAAAUUACCAAAGCUUCUUCAUCGCUGAAAGGCUCAAAGCACUAUUCAAGAACUGGCAUCCACCCCAUGCCUUGUGAAUUCAUUAAUUAAGAUGCUGGCAAACAGCCACUCCACACAUGCUGACAUCCAGCCGUGUUAGGUAAUGAGGUUUUAGUCUCCUGACCCCCGUCAAGUGGAAUGGAGCCAGACACAGGCUGCCGAGAGAAAUCACCUGCCCAAUGGCAACCUGUCGCUUGCGCGUGGCAGCAGGUGAGGCUCAUUUAAUGGUCAGCGACCCUUGCGGUGUCUGCAUGCCAUGAGCCCUCCUCCCAGCCCCUGGAUGGGUGGCUCCCCCGCAAGGUGGUGUCCAACUGUCUGCCCCAGCAUGGCCUCCUAAUCUCUGGCCAGUGAACCACUCAACGGGGCCCAGACGGCAGGGGCGAGGGUUCAAGUGCUUCCUCCAGCCACUCAAGCCAAUUCAGUAAAUAUUUAUUGAUGGUCCACUAAGCUGCUUCUGCCCCUUGUCUUAGAAAAUUGGUAGAUGCCUCCCAGCCUUGUGCACAGCCUCUUCCAGAACUUGUGACUGUCUUCACCUUUGCGUUGGAGGAGUAACGAAGAGGACGCGACCACCGGUUAACCUGAGUGCGGGACCAGGGCAAUCGGAGGCUCCUCACCCUCCAUUGACCUUGGAAUGUACGUUCUGCCCACUGUUCCCACAGUGGGAGCUGUUCCAAGGACACAGCCUUGAGAGACCAUGUGUUAUGGAGACCAUCUGGACAGUAUACGUGACUGAACCCAGUUAAGGCCUCUACACAAACUUUGAAGAUUUGGCGGGCGGAUGCGGAGGUCUAUUCUUCUUACUCAUGGCCCAAGACAAGCCUCACCUGGAAGUUCCCUUGCUUCCUAAACCUGCCUCUGGAGUGACUUGCCUCUUUCUUGGGUCUCUCUCUGUCGUCCAUGGAAGGGGACCAAUUUGCAAACCAACAACUUGGUCCUUCUGCCUCCCUAUGCAGAGAGCUUACAGCAGUGGCUUAAACUGAACAAAUAAUUACAACGUCAAGGUUCUUUCCUCCUGUGCUCAUCCUGCCUAGGUAAUUUUCUCCCCUCAAUUUACCACCUCUUUUUCUAGUUAGGAUUCUGGUGAAUUUAAAUGACUCCCAUUCACUUUAUUCCCUAUAGCAGAAACUAUUAUUUGGCCAACACAACACUGAUUCCUAACCCCUCUUCCUUUGCCCACCUUCACUACAGAGGUUAGAAAAGCUCAAGAGAUGCUUUCCCAUACUCAUUGCAGCCAGAGAUGGUCAUGAUCCAGUUCUGGCCAAUGAGAUGUUCCAGAAGUCAGGUGGAAGACUCCUGGGGCAGCUUAUGCUUUUCUGAUAAAAGGGACAGUGUUGUGGGGCUCCUGGGUGGCUCAGUCGGUUAAGCGUCUGCCUUCAGCUCAGGUCAUAAU